GGUCGAAAGGGGAAAUUCAUUCGCGUUUCGGCUGUCGGAGUGGGACGUUUGCGUGACGGAUGGGGGAGCGUGCUCACGUGCGUGCCUUCCGUCUGCGCCAUUCGUUCUUCGAACCGACGUCGAACGCGUGCACUUUUCCCCUAGUAGGACGUCGCGAUCCGUUGGGUGUCUGUCUAAGACUCGGGGUGGAGCCCGCGAGACAACACGUCUCGUGGACCCCCGAAUUUCCGACAGGCUCGCUCGACGGUAAGCUAGAGGCGCGGGGCCGCUAUUUUCAUUAGAAUUAGCGUUCGGCCCGUAGCAAGCGCGUUCUGUGUUUGACGGCGAUCGGACCUAGUGCCGAUUCUGUCCCAGAACGACUGUUGGUUACGGUGUUACAUAUAAUCUCGAACAGACCCCG
Molecule: ribosomal RNA, 400 nt
Filed under: Novofoudrasia regularis
Lineage: Eukaryota; Metazoa; Arthropoda; Insecta; Coleoptera; Chrysomelidae
Description: eukaryotic LSU rRNA
Source: RNAcentral